This is a long non-coding RNA of Hordeum vulgare subsp. vulgare (domesticated barley), 1444 nucleotides long. RefSeq lists it as uncharacterized. NCBI's taxonomy places the organism in Eukaryota, Viridiplantae, Streptophyta, Magnoliopsida, Poales, Poaceae. The record is from RefSeq and is a predicted model, not a curated record. The transcript has 2 exons.
UUUCUCAAUAAAUAUAGUGUCACGUCAGCAUUUUGCUUAUGAUAUUGUGCCAAGAUACUACCAUUACGGAAGGCCUUAGCCCAAAUCAAACCAAAACCUAGGGAUCCUCCCCUGUCCCAUCCAGCGCUGCCCUCCCCAACACAUCCAUCGCGGCAUGUUGCAGCCAGCCACCUCCUGCAUCGAGUCAUGCCUCGAUCUACGCCAGCAAGCGGUCGAGCCCGAGCUGCCCAAGCUCCUCUGCUCGCGAGGCAGGCCCGACCCUGAGUGUCUCUCUGUAGCAGCCCCCUACGCGUUAACCACCUCCAGACCGGCCCUACCUCGGCCUCCCUGUAGGCUCGCCCUGGCGGGGCACUGGAGGGCCGCUGGCUGCCACCGCCCCACGCAUUCCUUCCCCUGUGCGCCCGAGUCGCACCUCGUCAUCGCGCCCGGGCUCCGUUGUCGGCCUCAAGGUCACCUCCAGGCUCCAGCCCGUUGCACUCGUGCAUGACCACCCGAGCGGCCAUGCCCGUGCGUACUCUGUCGCGUCGUCGUUGGCGACCGCACCAGCAGGCCCGUGCGCUUCGUCCCUCUGCUCACCCGCGUCGAGCGCCUCGACCUUCUCCUCAGCCGGCGCCAAAGCCGUCGGACCGCACCAGCAGCAACCCCUUGCUCUCCCUCUCCUCUCUGCUUGACCAGGAGAUCGCCGCCAUGGAGUCACAGUCCUCGCCCCAAGGUGCCUCAUCGUCGGGAAUCGGUUCCAGGAGCCCAGAUCCGCCCGUCCAUGCACUGGAUCUAGUUCGUCUUGCCCUCGCCGUUCGGAUACUGCACCGCCUCUGGCCUUCUGCUCGGGGAAGACGAGCGAGGCCCUGCGCGCUCCUCUCUUCUCCCGCAUCCGGUUUUGACCGCCAGACCGAGCAGCGCGGUCACUCACGUGGGCUACUACGCCAAGGCCGUCUCGCGAUGCGCCAGACCAGCAGACCGUCGGCCUCUCCGAGCAUCAGCCAAGGUCCAAGCCACGCAUGGCCUUCUCAUCGGUCGAAGCCGCCGCCUCGCAUGUUUCGUUGUCGUACUCCUGCCUCCUCUCCAUGUUGUGCCCGCGCCUGCCGAGAACAACUACCGUCGACCUCCGAAGAUCGUGGAUUCGCCAAGCACCUCUCCAACCAUGUACGACUACUUCCUCGAUGACACGUGUACCGCUACUUUCACGAUGUCCAUGACAACCCAUGUAAAACGACGCCGCUACGACUCGAUCCGCUCCGAAGAUGCACGCUUUGAAGAUCAUGUUAUUGAUGAAGAAAUUGGACCAGAAGCUUUUGAAGACCUCGAAGACUUUGCUGAGCUAGACAAGCAUCCCUUUGACCAUGUUGAUGAACCCAUUUCAUGCAUGUCAUUAUAGCACUUUUAUUCGUUGCAUUGAAAAGCAUGAUGAUGUGGUGACAACCUUGCUAGGUUUGUCUCCUUUGUA